CAGCAACACAGCAUGGCAGCAACACAUGACAACACAGCAUGGUAGCAACACAUGACAACACAGCAUGGUAGCAACACAUGACAACACAGGAUGGCAGCAACACGACAUGGCAGCAACACAUGACAACACAGCAUGACAACAACACGACAUGGUAGGAGCACAACAUGGACAAACAUUAUUGGGCACAGACAACGACACAAAGGCAAGAAGGUAGAGACAAAAAUAUAUCACGUGAAGCAGCCACAACUAUCAGUAAGAGUGUCCAUGAUUGAGUCUUUGAAUGAAGAGAUUGUGAUAAAACUGUCCAGUUUGGGUGUUUGUUGCAGCUCGUUCCAGUCGCUAGCUGCAGCGAACUGAAAAGAGGAGCGACCCAGGGAUAUAAAUAUUUAUAAAUAAGCAUCAACCAGUGGGUCUUGUGACGGCUAUACAGAGAUGACCAGUUUACAGAGGAGUAUAGUGUGCAGUGAUGUGUCCUAUAAGGAGCAUUGGUGGCAAAUCUGAUGGCCGAAUGGUAAAGAACAUCUAGCCUCUCGAGAGCACCCUUACCUGCCGAUCUAUACAUUUUGUCUCUGUAAUCUAGCAUGGCUAGGAUUGUAAUCUGAAUCAGGAUUAGUUUGGCAGCUGGGGUGAGAGGAGCGAUUACGAUAGAGGAAACCAAGUCUAGAUUUAACUUUAGCCUGCGGCUUUGAUAUGUGCUGAGAGAAGGACAGUGUACCAUCUAGCCAUACUCCCAACUACUUGUAUGAGGUGACUACCUUAAACUCUAAACCCUCAGAGGUAGAAGCUGUUCUGUGCCGUUUUCCCCCAUGUGGGCCAGCCCCCUAGCAAUUAGAGUUAGGAGUUUGUUGAAUCCUUGUCAAGCUUUUCUUUCUAAAAAAAAAACAAACAAUAAAAUUAUGAAAGUUAUUUCAGAAAAGUUAAGCAAAUUUAGCUGGCUUACUCAAUGAUCCUGCUUGAUCGUAUGCCCUCAGAGUAGUCUUGAGAAACUGGGAGAAAACAGUGCUUGUUACAUUCAACCUCCUUUCCGAACUCUGUUGGGUUAGAUGGUUUGCCUCAGGACAGGAGAUAUUGGUUUAAUGUGUUUAUCACAGUCACUUCUUGUUUGCGUGAACUAAUCGGAUAUUCCCGUCCAUCAAAAUCUGUUGUUGUGUGCGUGAGACACGCUCAAGUCUAAAAUAAUCAACCAGUUUUGUCUCUUAAAACCCCUGAGAGAAAUAGUCCCCAUCCCUUGGAAUAUAGAACACUAGACCCAACAAGCACUGAUAACCUUGGAUCUAGCCUGUAUUAAACCCUGAUACUAAACUUUGCAUAUUAGUUCGUAUACAGAGAUAAUAUACAGAAAUGAUAUAUAGAGAUAACUCAUUACUUUUUGUGUCUGAGUAAAGAAGGGAAACCUAGUGUGUAGGAACUUUGACCUUUGACCUCGUCUGUUGCAGUGGAUCACAUAUUUCAGGGUUCCCCAACUGACAGCCCGGUUCCCCCCAAAGUUUUCAGAGCAAAAUGUUUUUCUAAAAACAAAACGAUUAUUUCCGCUCAAGAAAUAAUCGUCCCGCGACUGAAUCUGGUUGAUGGUCCCUGACAUAUUUAUUAUAAACGUUGACCGCGUCAGUGUUGCAGUAGAUCACAUAUUCAUUAGUAUGUGUCAUGUUGAGCGUUGAGAAGCUAGCUAGCUGUUUUGCCAAGACACUUUAAUCACUUUAAUUUCAGUUUUUAUUAAAAAAUAACUGUUGCAGUUGUUUUAAGCGUGUGUGUGUGUGUACGUACGUGAAAGUCCAUCUCUAACCCAGCCUCUAUUGUCAUUGGCUUUACACAUACUUUCCAUACUCAUCCCUGGUCGAUGAGUGAAACAACAAUGUUUUUUGCCGUUGUGUUAGGAAAUCUAUAUCGGAACUGAAAUGGAUAUGCCAAAUGAAUAACAUAUAUAUUCUUCAAGUCACCCCUCACAGCUUCAACCACGUCCAGUGUCUCUAGGAAGACCUACACGGGUCAGAUAUUUGCCCCUGAGAUGUCUGGGAUAUCCCAGGAUCCCCUUUAAUUUGACCUUUUUUUAAAUGUUCUUUCUUUCUGUCUUCACUUCUGACUGUUAAUUUAAAAAAAUAAAAAAUGUUUUAUACAUGUUCUUGAUUAGUCACAAAAGGCAGUUGUAAAGCAGGUCCCAUUUUACAGCCGUACAACAUGUUCUGUAUUAACACCCAAUUAACGAUGUAAUGAUUCAUUUAAUCAGUCCAUUCAUCUUUGUCUGAUUGAUUGUUUUUAAUGCAGAAAAUUAAUACAUUUUUACAUGAAGACUCACUUGUAUGAAUCACUUUCUGUGGAGGGGAAGGGAGGGAAAAAAAGCUGGUAUUUAAAAAAAAAAAGUUGAAACAGUUGGACUGUUGUGUUGAAACAACCAAUCCAAUCCACAAGCCAUGCAAAUCUACCAUAAGCAAUCAUACGUUAUGAAAUGCAAAGUAGGUAUACUGAUACAUAUACAAACACUAAACUAUCUUCAGUUGAUUUGAUUGACUGACUGACUGGUGGAUGGACUGACUGACUGACUGACUGACUGGUGGAUUGACUGACUGACUGAUUGGUGGAUGGACUGACUUGACUGACUGAUUGGUGGAUUGACUGACUGACUGAUUGGUGGAUGGACUGACUGACUGACUGAUUGGUGGAUUGACUGACUGACUGACUGACUGACUGACUGACUGACUGACUGACUGAUUGGUGGAUUGACUGACUGACUGAUUGGUGGAUGGACUGACUGACUGACUCAGAGCUGAGGGGUACAGUCAAUGGCUGGAUCUGGUGGGGUUACCAUGGUAAACUUUUACAAAUGAAAACGCUAAGACAUUCAAGCAACCGUUUCAAAUUGUAUUGAUUGUUUGAUGUUUUGUGAGUGUGUUCAACUCUUCACGUGCGUGUGUGAGAGAGAGAGAGAGAGAGAGGGGUAGAAGUCGUCUUCUUCAGCAGUCGUCUUCCUCAGCACCUCUUUUCCCCCCUUUACAGCCAUCUCUCUGGAACUGACAGCAAAAUAAUUGUUUUGCCACUCCGUAUGUCUCUCCCAGCGUCCAGCUUUUAAUAAGAUCUCCAAUAUUAUUGUCAUGAGUUCCUGGUAUGUUAACUGUUUGUCAUGUUUACACCAUGUGGCAACUGUUCCAUCUCUGUGACAUCAUGAACUGAUCAUGUAAUCAAUAAUCAUAUGAUGUUUAAGGAGUUAUGGUUGUCGUGUUAUCAUUUUGAUUUAAAGGGAUAUUGCGAGAUUUUUUUUUGGGGGGGGGGGCAAUUGAGCCCUUUAUCAACUUACCCAGAGUCAGAAGCAUGUAAAUAGCAUUUGAAUUAAAAAGGUUAACUUCCUUCGUGCUGAAUGCAGAGACAUGCAAAUGGUAUCCGUUAUCUCAUCUGACUCUGAGGAAGUAGAGAAAAUGAAUUGACAAAAAUCUCGCCUUAUCACGUUUUAGGUUUUAUGUCAUGUCAUCUCUUCUUUCCUACUUUUGCUUCUGCGUUGUGAAAGGAAGGAUAGACUUGCCCAGAGAUGUUAUUAAGUCUCCUGGAAUCUAUGCAAACAUGCAUUAAAUAAUGUAGAAACCAACCAAAUGGGUCUUUAUAAAUACAGACGCCUAUGAAUUAAUCAACUGGAUUGAAUGAAUUACACGCAAAAUGAAGAAUGUUGUAAUAAAUAUUUUUAUAUAAUUAAAAGUUUAAAAAUAAAGUAUAAAAGGGCAUGUUUUUUUUAUUUAUUUUUUAUUAAUUUAUAAAUGUUUGACCUGUCAAUAUGGAUUGUGUCUAGUGUAUAAGAAUAUUUGGAAGAUAAAUACACAACGCAGAGACAGAGGACUAAAAGUUGAUGGAGUACUAGCGAUCAAUGGAAAUAGGGGAUUAAUGCAGAGACAUGGGAGGAAUUUGUCUAUAUAUUGAGUCUGAAAUAGGAUACAUUGUUAUUUGGCCACUGGCUCAGUUUUAUUGCAAGGAAUUCUAAUUGGUCAACCGCAGGCUAGGGCUGGGUUAAAAAACUACACGCUGUCCCUUUGUUCUGUGUAGAGAAUCACUGAGGACAGGGAAGGAACUGUUCGAUGGAGAGAAUCACUGAGGACAGGGAAGGAACCGUUCGAUGGAGAGAAUCACUGAGGACAAGGAAGGAACCGUUCGAUGGAGAGAAUCACUGAGGACAGGGAAGGAACCGUUCGGUGGAGAGAAUCACUGAGGACAGGGAAGGAACCGUUCGAUGGAGAGAAUCACUGAGGACAAGGAAGGAACGACCAUCUACCUCUCAGCGUAACAUCUAUGAUUUAUCCUCUUUUGAAUAAACCUGUUUUCCAC
Long non-coding RNA from Oncorhynchus tshawytscha (Chinook salmon), 4302 nucleotides. The record is from Ensembl. Lineage: Eukaryota; Metazoa; Chordata; Actinopteri; Salmoniformes; Salmonidae.